Molecule: long non-coding RNA, 420 nt
Organism: Antechinus flavipes (yellow-footed antechinus)
Lineage: Eukaryota; Metazoa; Chordata; Mammalia; Dasyuromorphia; Dasyuridae
Exons: 2
Source: RefSeq, a predicted model, not a curated record
UCAAGCAAGACAUUAUAUUCAAAAUAACACAGAAUAUAGAACUAUGUAUGGUACUUUUGUGCUUGGGGAACCCAAAGUGAAAAUAAUGGAAGGUUUUCUGGAGCAGAUGUUUUGAUGAAUUCUUGAAAAGGAAAAAGGUUUAAAAGAGUAGAAGAAGGAAUUUAAAGUCAAGAAAAUAACAGUAGAUGGCAUUUUCUGUCCAAAGUCUAUUGGGAUUGCCUUGGACCAUUGAACCCCCGAGAAGAACCAAGUCGUUCAUAACUGAACAUAUCACACGUUCUUGAUAUUAAGUGUACAACGCCUUCCUGGUUCUGCCUGUUUCACUCAGCAUCAAUUUGUGUAACAUUUCCAGGACUUUCUAAAAUCAUCUUGUUGAUCAUUUUUAUAGAAAUAAUAAACCGUUAUUUUCACAUACCACAA